RNAcentral lists this ribosomal RNA (492 nucleotides) under uncultured soil bacterium. RNAcentral's name for it is "bacterial SSU rRNA". It matches the Rfam family "Bacterial small subunit ribosomal RNA", at positions 26 to 517 of the family's 1533-position model. The record is from RNAcentral.
AGAUUGAACGCUGGCGGCAUGCCUUACACAUGCAAGUCGAACGGUAGAGUAGCAAUACUUGAGAGUGGCGAACGGGUGAGUAAUAUAUCGGAACGUGCCCAGUCGUGGGGGAUAACGUAGAGAAAUUUACGCUAAUACCGCAUACGAUCUAAGGAUGAAAGCGGGGGACUCGCAAGAGCCUCGCGCGAUUGGAGCGGCUGAUAUCAGAUUAGGUUGUUGGUGAGGUAAAAGCUCACCAAGCCGACGAUCUGUAGCUGGUUUGAGAGAACGACCAGCCACACCGGGACUGAGACACGGCCCAGACUCCUACGGGAGGCAGCAGUGGGGAAUUUUGGACAAUGGGCGAAAGCCUGAUCCAGCAAUGCCGCGUGCAGGAAGAAGGCCUUCGGUUGUAAACUGCUUUUUGUACGGAACGAAACGGUCUGCUUUAAUACAGCGGAACUAAUGACGGUACCGUAAGAAUAAGCACCGCUAACUACGUGCCAGCAGCCG